UUUUCCAUACACAGAAUACUUCGACUAGGCGGAAAUAUUGACCUUAUGAAGCCACCACACACUUGCAGUUUGUGCUCUCGUGGCAAAGAAUGUUAGAGACACUGCACUAGCAGUCGAUACCAUGGGGGGACGAGAGCAAUCAGACACAGCCUAGUCCUAAGAGGACAGAACCGUUGCAAAGCGCACGGUUGCGUUGGAAGCGAAACAGGCGGAAGGCUUGUUCGAGUGGGCGUGGUGAGCCACAAUGGACGAACGUUGCUGUAACAGAUGUGAACCAACUGUGGUUACAUUUCAAGCAGCCUUCACAUCAGGCACAUUAUUGAUUCUCUGUACCUGUACUGUAACACCUAUAAAAAAAACACCUGAAAAAUAAAAAAUAAAAUUACUUCAAAUGGUUUGGAGUGACAAGUAAGGAGCCAGUCUAUUGGAGCAUCUUCAGCUGAGCCAACCAAUCCUAGGUGUUGUACCAUGUGAUGGAAGGACCACUCACUGAUCCACUGUCAGCAAUGUGAAUGUCGAGUGAAAUUGAGAUAUUGGGACUGUCCGGAUGAAAAAGUUGACCGAAUCACGUGAUCUAUCCAUCUGGUUCACUGGUGACAGCACUAGGCGGGUCGUAGGUGGUGUGACGUCACAAGGGCGCCGUCACCACAACCCUGGGGUCCCCCAUUCUGGCUUCAUCCUUCAACCUGAGACGGAUCUGAAGGGAUGUUCACUGAUGAUGAAGUGAGGAGGACAUGUGCUUUUGUGUGUUUACAAAAAAAAAUAAUGAGCUGCGGUUGAGUAUUGCAUUACAAUUUAAUUUUUAUUCCUUUAACUCUAUGUUUGGUAUUAAAUCAUUAAGAAAGAUAACUCUUGUUGAUGGAGUUACCUGUCUUGAGAACAUUUUUAUCUAUCUUGUACACCUCUAGCAAUAUUGACAAAAAGGACUUUAAUUUUUCCAAUAUCAAUUUCCCCCUCCCUCCUUCCCCACCUACAUGAAGAUCAAUUAUCAUCCAACUCAAAAGUUACUGUGGUGAAAUAAUUGAAUAUUAUAAUUUGUGGAAAUAAAACUAAUCAU
Physella acuta is the source of this 1057-nucleotide long non-coding RNA. RefSeq lists it as uncharacterized. NCBI's taxonomy places the organism in Eukaryota, Metazoa, Mollusca, Gastropoda, Physidae. The record is from RefSeq and is a predicted model, not a curated record.